RNAcentral lists this transfer RNA (55 nucleotides) under Stephanurus dentatus. Its description in RNAcentral is "tRNA-Ser". The record is from RNAcentral. Lineage: Eukaryota; Metazoa; Nematoda; Chromadorea; Rhabditida; Stephanuridae.
GAACUAUUGGGUUUUGUUUUGAAAACAAAAUGGAAGAAUUAUUUCUUGUAGUUUU